AAUUAAACACGUUUUUCCUUCCCACAAUUCUCCACGAGAUCUGUGCGAAGUGUUGUUCUUUUGGACUCUGCGAAUUUCCAGUUUCUACAACGAAAUAGCUCGACUAAUCAUCUGUUUAUAGAAUUGAUGUUCGAAAUCGUGAUUUCUGAGUGUACUUCAUUGCAGCAGAAAAUCUUGGAGGGAACAUCAAUAUUAAACUAAUGACAUUCCAUAAGAAUAAAAAUCCAAUAGGACCAAGAUCUUAGCAGUUCACACCAAGUCAUAGGGACAAAAUUGAGAACCAUGCAGAUCAGCAAGUGUAAGUUACACUCUAAUGACCAACAGGAUAUCUGAAUUGGAAAAUUGCAAGAUUUCCCACUGCCCAAGCUGUUUGAGUACCGGUAUCACAACUAGUACCAAGACGGAAGAAAUAUGAAGGCCGAGUUAAUUAACAGUUACUUCAAAUUAAUUUGAAUAGAUAUAUCAACAAAGCAUUGAAUUUUCUUUAAACUGCACAUCUCUAGGAAAAGUGCAGUACAAGUUCAGGUUCAUCAGCGGGCAAUGACAUUAAAGUAUACAAAAUUUUACACAAAAUACAAUUAAGAAAUAUUAUUUUCCAAUGGGCAAAAGUAUCACCUUUUAUUGAUAUUUAAUACUUUUACUAGUUCUUAGAAGUUUUCAUGAAAUUAAAUAUAUUUUCCAGUUUAAAGGCCUAUUGUAUACAAGACAAAAAUUUAAAUUUUGAAAUAAAAAUAAUGUGUAGAUAAAUGUUAAGAAAGGUGAUCAGAGGAAUAAGAAAUGAUGUUAAUAUCACUCCUGGACCUCAUUUCAUGAACAAGUUAUUACUAUUGUAAUCUUGUCACUAUGACAAUUACCAUAGUAACAGGGCUGAGCAAGAAAUCAAGGUCUUUAUGAUAGCUGCAAUGGGCUUGGACAAAGUUACCAUAAUUGCAAGUCUUAAUAUAAUGGCUAAAUAAUUAUGUAGGGAUAUUAAAUUGUAUUGUUAUCCUUUUAAAAAGUUUUGAAAUGGGUUACCUCUA
Molecule: long non-coding RNA, 1019 nt
Filed under: Lytechinus variegatus (green sea urchin)
Lineage: Eukaryota; Metazoa; Echinodermata; Echinoidea; Temnopleuroida; Toxopneustidae
Description: uncharacterized LOC121406235
Source: RNAcentral